RNAcentral lists this ribosomal RNA (697 nucleotides) under uncultured bacterium. RNAcentral describes it as "bacterial SSU rRNA". It matches the Rfam family "Bacterial small subunit ribosomal RNA", at positions 32 to 715 of the family's 1533-position model. The record is from RNAcentral.
AACGCUAGCUACAGGCUUAACACAUGCCAGUCGUGGGGCAGCAUGGGAGAUGCUUGCAUUUCCCGAUGGCGACCGGCGCACGGGUGAGUAACGCGUAUCCAACCUGCCCUUCACUCCGCACAGCCCGUCGAAAGACGGAUUAAUGCGGGAUGCAGUCAGAAAGAUGCAUAUUAAUUUGACGAAAGGCCUUCGGGUCGGUGAGGGAUGGGGAUGCGUCCGAUUAGCUUGACGGCGGGGUAACGGCCCACCGUGGCGACGAUCGGUAGGGGUUCUGAGAGGAAGGUCCCCCACAUUGGAACUGAGACACGGUCCAAACUCCUACGGGAGGCAGCAGUGAGGAAUAUUGGUCAAUGGCCGGGAGGCUGAACCAGCCAAGUAGCGUGAAGGAUGACGGCCCUACGGGUUGUAAACUUCUUUUAUAAGGGAAUAAAGGGCGCCACGCGUGGUGUUUUGCAUGUACCUUAUGAAUAAGCAUCGGUUAACUCCGUGCCAGCAGCCGCGGUAAUACGGAGGAUGCGAGCGUUAUCCGGAUUUAUUGGGUUUAAAGGGAGCGCAGGCGGGCGAUUAAGUCAGUUGUGAAAUGCCACGGCUCAACCGUGGACUUGCAGUUGAUACUGGUUGCCUUGAGUGCGGCAGAGGCAGGCGGAAUUCGUGGUGUAGCGGUGAAAUGCUUAGAUAUCACGAAGAACUCCGAUUG